ACUCAUCAGAAAGCAGUAUGUUGAAUCAGUAACACCUCUUUCUGUAGUUUAUCAGGAGAGACCAUGAAAUACAGUACCUUUUUUUUUUUUUUUUAAAUUCAAGACACCUAGUUCUAAGACCAUGUCCAUAAAUCAUUGUCUUUGACCCUUGCAACCUCAUUUCACUACCCUAGAGGGGGAAAAAGACCUGCAUUAUUUCCUCAAGAAAUCAAGAAAAUCAAAGUCAAUUUCCUUUUGAACUCUCCUUCUAAGAUAUCAAGGAGAAGUAAUCAUCUUCUUACAAAUCCUCCCACAAACUUCUUUUUAACGCUCGCCAGAGACCUGAACAAACUCCUAUUUGACACUCCGAAUGCCUUUCCUCGUACAGAAUUUAAUCGACAGUCUGACCUUCAAAAAGUGGUCCUGAUUAAAUUGCACAAAUAUGUGUCCUUUCCAGGAAAAAGUGGUAGCAAAGAAUCUCUGUUACUUCUUAAAGUUUCUUCUCUGGAAGAAAGAAAAAGCAAUUUAUUUUUCAAUGUAUUAAUUUAGUUAACCAGCACAUAUUGAAACCCUACCCUAUGUUGGACCCUAGACUAGCCCUGAAGAGAGAGGUAAAAGGAAAAAAGCCAUAUUUUCUGACUCAUCUGGAACUUCUGGUGCCAGUCUUCAGCAGUGGCCAAGCUCAGUCUAAAGUCUGAGUCCCCAAAUGCUUGGCCUUUGACUUCUUUGUUUCCCAAUACCAAAAAGUGUUUCUGAUAUACUGAAUCUCAGUGUUUGUGAGAUCCAGAACAAACUGUGUAGCCUUAUAAAGGAUCCCUUCCAGCCUCAACAAAAGCAAAAUAUUUGGGUUCAGUUCAUCUGGGAUUCAUCUGGGGCUCUGUCUUUUAAAUACAUGCAGAGGAGAUUCUCCACGUGGAAAACUUAACAUGUCAUUAUGUGCUGUUUUCUCCACAUAUUGUUUGUGUACUCACUCAGGUAUCAAAAAAUGGAUCGGAGAAAUUGUAACAUGGCUAAACUAAAAUUGUAGAGAGACUUCAGUCAAAAUAUUUAUAUGCGUUUCUAGGUGUGAAGUUUAUUGCUGAGAUUAUAUUUUUCACUAAAAAUAUCUAGUUAAUUCUGUUGGACUCAUUUUGAUAUUCACUGUGUAAAUGGAAUACCAUUAUGAAAACAAUUACAAUUUUUAAAUUGUAACCAAUUACUAACUUUAGUAAACCAAUUACUAAACUUCUAUGUUUGACCUUAGGAGGGAUAAUACGUAUCCCAAACUAAAAGCCUAGGCAUAUUUGCCCUCUGCAGUUUUCCUGGGCACUAAGACAUGUCCUUUUCUUUGUGCCCAAGAGAAGGAGAACAGAAAAUUGUAAGGUGGCAUGUUUUCCAGAUAGUUACACUGAAGAAUGAGGCUUGCAGAUAAUCAGAAAAGUGUGAUUACAACCAGCCCUGAUUGUAGAUAGCCUAGAAUUUUAUAUAUUUCUUUAAAAACUUUCAAGAACUGGGAGUGGCUCAGCGAUUAAUGAACCCAACCAGGAUCCAUGAGGAUGUAGGUUCGAUCCCUGGUCUCAUUCAGUGGGUUAAAAAUCCGGCUUUGCUGUGGCUGUGGUGUAGGCCGGAAGCUGUAGCUCUAAAUCGAUUUGAUUGCUAGCCUGGGAACUUUCAUAUGCUGUGGGUGCAGUCCUAAAAACCAAACAAAAAAAGAAACAAACAAACUUCAAGAACUUUGAUCUCGAUGUUUAUAUGAAAGUAGUCUCUGAAUAAUGACACAAUGAGAAUUCGAUUGCAGAUUAUUGCUAGUUACCUCAUACACAUGGAGAUUAAUAAGCAGAAGUAGAGGAAGAUUGCCUAUGUAUUAUAUAAAACACACCACAAUAAAAAUACCUCUCAAAGGCUAUAGGUAGUUUGAAUUAUCAGGUUAAACAAAAUACAAUUAUAAAAUCAUCUUUAAAUAUUCUUCCAGUUUUUCUAAUUAUGAUAUGGUGGAUCUGCUGCUUAAUAUUAAACAUUAUCCACACAAUUAAGAAUAUGUUACUAUCAGUGAGAUAUUUGUUGAAGUUGAAUAUUCAAAGCAAAUAUAUCAAAACAGUAGGCUCUCUACCAUAAAACACCAUGGAAUAGAUAUUUAAUUUUUCUUGUUGCCAAAAUAAUUUCUUCAUGUAGUUGUGUCUAGUUUUAUUAGUUAUGUUUUUUUGUCUAAAUAUACUGAUAAGUUAUAUCCUUUUCAUUAAUAUGUCAAAAGCAUUGGAAGAACACUGAAGCAUAUUAUCCACUACAAUAAAGAAUAUUGACCCUUCGACUAUUAGAGAUAAUGUUAAAGAACACAACUCCGGGAGUUCCCGUUGUGGCACAUCGGAAACUAAUCCAACUGGGAACCAUGAGGUUUCAGGUUCGAUACCUGGCCUCGCUCAGUGGGUUGGGGAUCCAGUGUUGCUCUGAUCUGUGGUGUAGGUCGCAGAUGUGGCUUGGAUCCUGCGUUGCUGUGGCUGAGGCACAGGUCAACAGCUGUAGCUCUGAUUAGACCCCUAGCCUGGGAACCUCCAUGUACCGUGGGUGCGGCCCUAAAAACCAAAAAAAAAAAAAAAGCAACUUCAAUAUGAGUCAGACUCAUUUAGCUCAAGUUUCAGCUCUGAUUCUUCCUCAAACAGGACCGUCUAUAUAUUAUUUAAUCUCUCAUGAUUCUUCCCCCUUUCCUAUUAAAAUGGAGAUAAAUCUCGUAGAGUUUUCCUAAGGGUUAACAUCUGCAAAUUAUAGGCAUUGUUAUACUGUAAUUUUAAAAAGAAGCCUAGUUGGCAUAAAUUAAUUUUUACUAGAAAUAAAUACACUUGUAGAUAAGCCCAAUUUAUGAUAAUUUCAAGGAACCUUUAGAUAGAGUUAGCCUUGGGAGCUUUAUCCUAUUCAGCCAGCAAAGUAACUCAGCUGAGUGCAUCAAAUAAUGGCACUUGGACUUGAAAUGUAUUUGCUUUGGAAAAGUUUAAAUGGACUUUCCCUUUUAAUUACAGUUUUUCUCAAUUCUCUCAUAUGCUUUUUAUUUCCUAUCCCAGGUUGAUAGAGCUGAUUGAUUUGAUACCUAGAGCAGCUUUCUCUCCUAAUUCUUAAUGUUCUUCUAGGUAUUAUCUACUUUGAAAUAUCUUUCAGGCUUAGACUUUCCCAGGAAAGAAUCUAAAUGUAUAUAUAUAUAAUAUAUAACAAUUACAGGGUUCAGGAAGACUGCAUGAGUCAAAGGUAUACGCUUCCUAAUGGAACUGAUUUUUUAAAGGAAUUUGAAAAUUUGGAAGGGAUUUAUAAAGUUCAUGUGGUCUCAUCUGCCACUUAUGGGGUCAUGCUUUUAUAACUUUCCAUAAAUAAAUGCCCAAGUAUUCCAAUCAGGACUUUUUCAGCAAUAAAAACUAUGUAUUUUCAAUUGAGUGCUCACAUAUCUUAACCAAAUACUAAAAAGUAAGCAAAACAAGACAAAACAAAACAAAACAAAAUACCUAUUCUAUUAUACAACUCAAGCAAGGGAAAUAUCUUAAAAUUUCAACAUCUCUAUGAAUUCUAUUAAGUAUUAAAAAGAAUCUUACUAAAUAAAUUUAAAUGUUUCAGGUAGUGAGCCAUGCUGAUGUUAAUAAAAAGUAAGAUUUUUUUUUUUUUUUUUGGCCGCACCCAUAGCAUAUGUAAAUUCCCAGGUCAGAGAUUGAAUCCAAGCCACAGCCAUGACCUAUGCAACAGGAGCGGCAAUUACGCUGGGCUGUGGAUUAAAUUCAUGCCUCAGCAGUGACUAGAGCUGUGGCAGUUGGAUUCUUAACCCACUGUGCACAGCAGGAAUUCCCAGUAAGAACUUUAUAUCAUUGUGUCAAUAGAUUAUUUACAUCAUCCUGGGUGACACAGAUAAAUUGACUUGCAAACCAAUCAAAAACUGUGAGAAUAGAGUUCCUGUUGUGACUCGGCAGGGGCAGGUAAAAAACCCGACUAGGAUCCAUGAGGAUGCUGGUACAAUACCUGGCCUCACUUGGUGGGUUAAGGAUCCAGCAUUGCCCUGAGCGGCAGCAUAGGGUACAGAUGCAAUUCAAAUCCUGUGUUUCUGUGGCUAUAGUGUAGGCUGGCAGCUGCAGCUCUGAUUCAACCCCUAGCCUGGGAACUUCCAUAUGCUGCAGGUGGAGCCCUAACUAGAAAAAAACAAAAACAAACAAACAAAAACAAAUAGAUUGAUACAAAAAAACUAGAAGAGAGAAAACAGAAUGUGGUCAGAAAAUUUCAUGACAAACAGUGAAUAUACCUCAGGACUUUGCAUCACAAAGUCAUAAAGUGAAAAAUGUACAUUGAUUUUUUUUUUUUCCUCUCAGCUCACCUAGAGAGAUACGACAUCAAAUAUUUCUCUAGAAGUGAAACAUUCCAUUGCUUUUAGCAUAUGAAACUGGGAGUAAAACAUAGUGAUUUACUAAGGAUGUUGUAAACAUGCAUCAGAGCUAUUGCUCAUCAACAAAGAAAUCAAGGAACCGAAAAAAAAAUCACAGCACUCCUUAAAUUAUUAACUAGAUCACUGUGUUAACUAUAAUGUGAUAUGCAGUUGAAAGCUAACUGGUAAAAAUACAGCUAAAGUGUCUAAUUCAUUUAAAAAUUAGUUUUCUCACAGCUAUGAUAUCAUGAUGUGCUGGUCACUGAACAACUUCUCUUUUUCACAACUGUAACAGAGUGUUAAUAUUUGGGGUAAGACCUGAGAUGUUAGGAUCUUGUCACAAAAUUGAAAUGAAUUGAGACUUUUCUAGUAAGAUGUUGCUAUAUGUAACUUGUGGCUUAACUGUCAUUUUAUUCAGCAGUUGGAAAUGUGAGGGUUCCAACAAGAAUCAAUUCACUUCCCCUUUAUUCUCAGAGUUAAAUAGGGAACUGUCAUAUCAUUGCUUCCAAAUGAAUGCUAAAAUUACUUAAGUACGCAUGCCUACAUAGAUAUUUGUACUGCUCCUGGCACAUAUGAAUCUCCUCCUAGUGCCAUCCUGCAACAAGCUCUGUCUGUAGUCAUUUUGUGAGAAUUCUUAUUUCCCUUUGUUCAAGCUAAGUUCCUCCAGGAAUGACCUUGGAUGGUGCUGAGUCAAGAAAAGAGAACUAAGAAGUUCUCUGCCAUCCCUAACCUUUACCAAUCUUGGGAUCAUGUCCAGGAUAUUGGUUAUAAAUAUAUUAUUAGUAACUCAGAAAACAAAAUACUUUGAUUCAGAAUGAGUCUCUGAAUCAGACAAAGCUCUUUGAAAUUCAGAGUAAAUAUGUGGUUGUUAUGUAUCUCAUGUUUCUCUUUUGAAAAAUAAGGAUAAUAAUUGAAUGAGAGAUAUUGAUAUGAAAAAUAUGUGACAGAGAAAAAUUAAAAAUACAGAAAAAGCCCACAGUAUAUGUAGCCAGAAGAACAACAAAAUAUUAAUUUUUUUUUAUAGGUUUCAAAGCUGAGGCUACCUAUGCAAUAGUACAUACAGUUGGAAUAGGGGCCUGAAAAGAAUAUCAUAGUGUGGUUACCUGCUCUGGUUUAGCACUGCUCAAAAGGUAACAUAAUGGGACUUGAAUCAAGCAUCUUUGAUACCAUAAUCAUUUUCCUGACUAUUGAGAAUGAGACUCUACAUCUGCAAAGUGGCCAUGGCUUAAAACAUCUCUUUAUGGGCAAAUUAAACCUGGAAAACCUAGGAAAGUAAAAUCACUUGAAGAGGAUAAGGAAUAUAAUAAGUUAGAGAAAUAUUUUAUGUCCCCAAUACUCUUUAUUACAUUUUAAAUAAUCUUCUUGUAAAAGAAGAAAGUUCAGUGGAAAAGAACACUGGACAUUCUAAAAAUUAGAAAAACUAAUUUGUCCAUAUGGCUUUGACAGCAGAAUAAGAAGACAUAAAACACAUAUGAAGAAAUCCUUUUAUUAGAAUAGCAAAGCUAUAGCUGACAUUUUCCAAUAAUUUACUCUUAGGGACAUAGUGUUUAAAAAAUUUUAAAGCUUAUGAGAAAAAGCGAUAAAAGUGAAGUAUUGUACAAAAUUUUUGUGGAGGACAAUAAGGAAAUGUUAAGAAAAUAUUAAGAAAAUAUUUUUUCUUGGAGUUCCCGUCGUGGCACAGUGGAAACAAAUUGGACUAGGAACCAUGAGGUUGUGGGUUCAAUCCCUGGCCUCGCUCAGUGAGUUAAGGAUCCGGUGUUGCUGUCAGCUGUGUGUAGGUCACAGAUGCAGCUUGGAUCUGUGUUGCUGUGACUGUGGUGUAUGUAGGUCAGCGGCUACAGCUCUGUUUUGCCCCCUAGCCUAGGAA
This 6212-nucleotide long non-coding RNA is filed under the name Sus scrofa (pig). RNAcentral describes it as "lncRNA (ENSSSCG00035019142.1)". The record is from RNAcentral. Lineage: Eukaryota; Metazoa; Chordata; Mammalia; Artiodactyla; Suidae.